UACGUAGGGCGCAAGCGUUGUCCGGAAUUAUUGGGCGUAAAGAGCUCGUAGGCGGCUUGUCACGUCGGAUGUGAAAGCCCGGGGCUUAACCCCGGGUCUGCAUUCGAUACGGGCAGGCUAGAGUGUGGUAGGGGAGAUCGGAAUUCCUGGUGUAGCGGUGAAAUGCGCAGAUAUCAGGAGGAACACCGGUGGCGAAGGCGGGUCUCUGGGCCGAUACUGACGCUGAGGAGCGAAAGCGUGGGGAGCGAACAGG
This 253-nucleotide ribosomal RNA is filed under the name uncultured bacterium. RNAcentral's name for it is "partial 16S ribosomal RNA". It matches the Rfam family "Bacterial small subunit ribosomal RNA", at positions 524 to 776 of the family's 1533-position model. The record is from RNAcentral.